GUCAUUCUACUAAGCCUGUGCACUCUGCUUUAUGACGUCAUGCUACUAGGCCUGCGCAGUCUGAUAUAUGACGUCAUGCUGCUAGGCCUGUGCCUUCUGCUUUAUGGUGUCAUUCUACUAAGCCUGUGCACUCUGCUUUAUGACGUCAUGCUACUAGGCCUGCGCAGUCUGAUAUAUGACGUCAUGCUGCUAGGCCUGUGCCUUCUGCUUUAUGGUGUCAUUCUACUAAGCCUGUGCACUCUGCUUUAUGACGUC
This is a long non-coding RNA of Dermacentor silvarum, 255 nucleotides long. RefSeq lists it as uncharacterized. NCBI's taxonomy places the organism in Eukaryota, Metazoa, Arthropoda, Arachnida, Ixodida, Ixodidae. The transcript has 3 exons. The record is from RefSeq and is a predicted model, not a curated record.